AAAGAGAAUCAGAAGUUCAAAGUCAUCUUCUGCUGAAUAGUGAGUCUGAGGUCAGCCUGAACUACAUGAGACCUUGCUUCAAAAACUCAAAUGGACUUUUUAACCUUGGCGCUAUGACAGAAGAUGCAUACUGUGUGCCAGAGACUCUCAAACUGCAGCACCAACACUACCACCACCAGCAGCAGUGACAGAAGCUCCUAGGUGUUUAUUAGAAGUGUGCUCUCCUGUCUCGGAGGGAAGGUCCUGGAUGCUCUUCAAGUGGCACACUGUUCUUGAGUGUCUUUAUGUCCUGGUAAAUGACAACCCCAAACAGCUGGCCAGCAACCAGUCCUCAGGGAGAGAUGAUGUUACAUUCAACCUGUUGGUUGUUUUUUCUUUCUUUCUCUUUGCCAACAUAAGGUAGUGCCAAAGAAAGAACCUCGCUCAUGGAAGAGAUGCCAACAAAGCUACCAUAGGAAGAUAACCCCAAUAAAGAUGAUAUUCUCUGUAUGGGACUCAGUUUGAACAAUCUGUCCUGUCCCUUUAAGAGACAAGCCACGCCCACUCCCUCCUCUGUCUGCUGAGGCAAGCUGAUCUUCAGCUUCCAGC
Molecule: long non-coding RNA, 588 nt
Organism: Microtus oregoni (creeping vole)
Lineage: Eukaryota; Metazoa; Chordata; Mammalia; Rodentia; Cricetidae
Exons: 3
Source: RefSeq, a predicted model, not a curated record